AGCGAACGCUGGCGGCAUGCCUAACACAUGCAAGUCGAACGAACCCUUCGGGGCUAGUGGCGCACGGGUGCGUAACGCGUGGGAACCUGCCCUUAGGUUCGGAAUAACUCCCCGAAACUUGUGCUAAUACCGGAUAUUCUCUUCGGACCAAAGAUUUAUCGCCUUUGGAUGGGCCCGCGUUGGAUUAGCUAGUUGGUAGGGUAAAUGCCUACCAAGGCGACGAUCCAUAGCUGGUCUGAGAGGAUGAUCAGCCACACUGGGACUGAGACACGGCCCAGACUCCUACGGGAGGAAGCAGUGGGGAAUAUUGGACAAUGGGCGAAAGCCUGAUCCAGCAAUGCCGCGUGAGUGAUGAAGGUCUUAGGGUUGUAAAGCUCUUUUACCCGGGAUGAUAAUGACAGUACCGGGAGAAGAAGCUCCGGCUAACUCCGUG
This 433-nucleotide ribosomal RNA is filed under the name uncultured bacterium. RNAcentral describes it as "partial 16S ribosomal RNA". It matches the Rfam family "Bacterial small subunit ribosomal RNA", at positions 29 to 507 of the family's 1533-position model. The record is from RNAcentral.